GCCGGGCAUGGUGGUGCACGCCUGUAAUUCCAGUGACUCAGAAGGCUGGGGCAUGUGGAUCACAAGUUUGAGAAUAACCUCAGCAACUUAAUAAGAACCUGUCUUAA
This 107-nucleotide small RNA is filed under the name Marmota monax (woodchuck). The record is from RNAcentral. Lineage: Eukaryota; Metazoa; Chordata; Mammalia; Rodentia; Sciuridae.